CGGAGGCCAAAACAAACAAGCACGGUACCGUCCUUGUUACAAAAUUUCCAUUCCAUCCAAAAGCAAAGAGAAGCAGGGAGAGAAAUCUGAGAGAGAGAAUGAAGAAAGAGGAGGAAGCAAAGGGAGAUCAAAAAUCUGUCCAAGGGCUCGCUUCGCUCGCUCGUCCACACUACCCGUCGAAGCCCGUCCGGCUCCAGACGGCGUCGCGCACCCGCGACAUGUCCCGGCCCUUGAGCGUCCGGCCGGCGCCCUCCACCACGGACGCCCGCGCCUGCCGCCGCGCCAGGUACACGUGCGGCGGCACCCACCCGGCGCCCUGCCCCUGCCUGCCGUCGUCCCCCUCCCGCCCUUCGUCGUGGUCGUCGCCCCCCAUCUCCAUCUCGAACAGCAGCGACGGGUCCGCGUCCGGGAACGCGAAGCGGGCGGGCCACGCGGGCACCUCGACGGGAGCCGACGCCGCCGCCUGCCGCCCGGGCCCGUCGCCGAACGCCCGGCUCAGGCCGCCCUGCCGCGGGCCGCGCCUGCCCUCCGCCGCCUCCACCUGCCUGGACGCCGUGGCGCGUGGGCUCCCCGGGUCGUUGGUGGCGGCGGCGGCGGCGGCCGAGUACCAGACGUCGGCCUCGGCGAGGUCCGGCAGGUCGUCGAAGGCGGCGGGCGCCGGCGCCACGGCCCCCGGCGACGGCCCGCCGCGGGGGAAGCCGAGGAACCGCUCAGCGGCGGCGAACGGCGACCUGCGCGCCUUGGCCAUCGCCGACCGCGCUCGCGUCGUGCGGCGCGAGGAGAGGAAAGCCGGGCGCGCACGAGACCUGCUGACCUGAUGAGAGAGAGAGAGAGAGAGAGAGAGAGAGAGAGAGAGAGGGCGGAAGGUGUGGAAGGGAAGCGAAGGCAGGAGGGAUUUUG
Molecule: unclassified non-coding RNA, 900 nt
Filed under: Zea mays
Lineage: Eukaryota; Viridiplantae; Streptophyta; Magnoliopsida; Poales; Poaceae
Description: misc RNA Zm00001eb105980
Source: RNAcentral